This is a long non-coding RNA of Oncorhynchus mykiss (rainbow trout), 1819 nucleotides long. The record is from Ensembl. Lineage: Eukaryota; Metazoa; Chordata; Actinopteri; Salmoniformes; Salmonidae.
AUGUUGCUGACUAGCAUGUUCUGCUCUGCGCAAGGACCAUUCAUUCAGGACAAGCUCCAAUCAUACUGUCCUACUUAUAUAAAACAUCAGAUGUAUUUUGGACCUUCCUACAAUGCCUGUCGGUGAAUAUGAGCACUGAGACCCAAAAUAGCACGUUAUUUUCACCAGUGAAGAGAUAAGUUGAAAGACAAGAGAAACCCCAUACGCUGUUCUGUCUCGUAAUCACCUGUUUUAUUAAAGCUUCAAAUGAGCUCAGACCAGAGUCAGACUUCUGAACAUCUUACACGUCUUCGGUGAUAAUAAACAUUAACGGGGCAAUCUGGGGUAUAAAGUGGCGCCGGGAAGAAAUGGCAGCAGUUUUACGGGCGCCCAACCAAUUGUGCUCCAAGCCAUAAGACUCAUGAACAGGUAACCAAAUGGCUACCCGGACUAUUUGCAUUGUGAGCCCCCCCUCCACAAACCCUCUGUUUAUCAUAUAUGCAUUGUCACUUUAACCAUAUCUACAUGUACAUACUACCUCAAUCAGCCUGACUAACCGGUGUCUGUAUGUAGCCUCGCUACUUUUAUAGCCUCGCUACUAUAUAUAGCCUGUCGUUUUACUGUUGUUUUUAUUUCCUUACUUACCUAUUGUUCACCUAAUACCUUUUUUGCACUAUUGGUUAGAGCCUGUAAGUAAACACAAGGUCUACCUGUUGUAUUCAGCAUUUCUCUGUAAGGUCUACUACACCUGUUGUAUUCAGCAUUUCACUGUAAGGUCUACUACACCUGUUGUAUUCAGCAUUUCACUGUAAGGUCUACUACACCUGUUGUAUUCAGCAUUUCACUGUAAGGUCUACUACACCUGUUGUAUUCAGCAUUUCUCUGUAAGGUCUACUACACCUGUUGUAUUCAGCAUUCCACUGUAAGGUCUACUACACCUGUUGUAUUCAGCAUUUCACUUUAAGGUCUACUACACCUGUUGUAUUCAGCAUUUCACUGUAAGGUCUACUACACCUGUUGUAUUCAGCAUUUCUCUGUAAGGUCUACUACACCUGUUGUAUUCAGCAUUUCUCUGUAAGGUCUACUACACCUGUUGUAUUCAGCAUUUCACUUUAAGGUCUACUACACCUGUUGUAUUCAGCAUUUCACUGUAAGGUCUACUACACCUGUUGUAUUCAGCAUUUCACUGUAAGGUCUACUACACCUGUUGUAUUCAGCAUUCCACUGUAAGGUCUACUACACCUGUUGUAUUCAGCAUUUCACUUUAAGGUCUACUACACCUGUUGUAUUCAGCAUUUCACUGUAAGGUCUACUACACCUGUUGUAUUCAGCAUUUCACUGUAAGGUCUACUACACCUGUUGUAUUCAGCAUUUCUCUGUAAGGUCUACUACACCUGUUGUAUUCAGCAUUUCACUGUAAGGUCUACUACACCUGUUGUAUUCAGCAUUUCACUGUAAGGUCUACUACACCUGUUGUAUUCAGCAUUCCACUGUAAGGUCUACUACACCUGUUGUAUUCAGCAUUUCACUGUAAGGUCUACUACACCUGUUGUAUUCAGCAUUUCACUGUAAGGUCUACUACACCUGUUGUAUUCAGCAUUUCACUGUGAGGUCUACUACACCUGCUGUAUUCAGCACACGCGACAAAUAAACUUUGAUUUGAUUUGCAGGUGCUACAUCCAUUCUUGGAAUCAUAAAUAAAGGGAUAUUUACUCAUUGAUUCUUGAAGAAUAUAACUUAGAAAUGCCUCAUGAGCUCAGCUCAAUAGUCGUACCCCAUCAGAACCCAGAAUAUAAGCUUGUUUUACUCCAAUGUUUUUCAGCAAUGUAAAUGUAAACAA